UCGGGCUGGUUAUAGGCCUCAGUGCCAAGUAGUAUGAUUGAACCUUCAUGAAGGCCCAAAGGAGAGGCAUUAUAGUCAAGGCAGAUGCAACCUAUAGCAGUAUGCCUACGCCUUCAUAAAAACUCACCUUCAGCUAUUCUUUGCAGACCAUGAUGAUAUCCUCCACACAGAUCUGAUUAUCCUUAAAAAGAAAGUGCCCCAUUUCAUACCUUCCGAAGGUGGUAGUUAAACACAAAAGAGAAAAGAGGGCUCUUAUACAAUAGCUUAGCUGGCAAAG
Molecule: long non-coding RNA, 277 nt
Filed under: Manihot esculenta (cassava)
Lineage: Eukaryota; Viridiplantae; Streptophyta; Magnoliopsida; Malpighiales; Euphorbiaceae
Description: long non-coding RNA (MESC_LNC005246)
Source: RNAcentral